GUCAGGAUGGCCGAGUGGUCUAAGGCGCCAGACUCAAGGUGUUUACCUUCCCUGCGGGCGUUCUGGUCUCUGAAUAGAGGCGUGGGUUCGAAUCCCACUUCUGACA
Molecule: transfer RNA, 106 nt
Filed under: Ailuropoda melanoleuca (giant panda)
Lineage: Eukaryota; Metazoa; Chordata; Mammalia; Carnivora; Ursidae
Description: tRNA-Leu
Rfam family: tRNA
About the family: Transfer RNA (tRNA) molecules are approximately 80 nucleotides in length.
Source: RNAcentral